This 2727-nucleotide long non-coding RNA is filed under the name Mytilus galloprovincialis (Mediterranean mussel). The record is from RNAcentral. Lineage: Eukaryota; Metazoa; Mollusca; Bivalvia; Mytilida; Mytilidae.
AAUAUAUAUAACUUUAUUUUGGUACAUCUGCACCAUCAUAACUGACAUUAUUUACAUACAAUAUAUAUCCCUGAUAAGUACAACAAAAUCCGAGACAAAAGCAUUGGUAUGCAUUACUAUAGUUACAGAUAAGUCUGAGACAAGACUUGAUGUGUUUACACUGAAAAAAUCUCACAGAAGUAUCUUGAACUUCCAGAUCAAGUUUAUGUAAGUGGUGUAACUUUAUGUUGGUAUUUCAUAUUCACGUACCAGUAGCCUAAGAUCAAUAAUUUAUCCCUUAUCAAGUUAAACAAUGUUAUCAAUUACAGUGGAUUUUUUAUUUCCAUGGUUACUUAUUUUUGUGGAUUUAGGAAAAAGGUUCUAUUCCGAAAUAUUUGAUUUCAUUGUUUUGCAAAAACUAAAUUAAGAAGGUCUAUAGAAAACUGGUUCAUCUUUGAACAUGUAAAUUUAUGGUUCAUCUUCUCCUGGAAAUCUAUGAAUAUUAAUACCACAAAAUCCCAUAAAUAUUAAUGAAUAGUAUACUACUUUCAAUUUGUGAUGCAUGUUUACUCAAAAUUCUACCCAAUAGUAGGAUGGCAAAAGUGGUUAAAGGUUCCUAGUUUAAGGGAUACCAUGUGACAAAUGUAAAAUAAUAAUUGAAACCAAGGUAAUUUAACUAAAAUUGACAGAUUUCAAAGAAAUCCAACCUGACAGUGGGGGAUAAUUAACAAUAGGAAGCAGUGGAAACACAAUUUCAUUAAGUUAACAAUAUUGAAGGCCAAGGCAGCUAUUUAACAAAAAUGUCAUAAUCACUUUGUCUAUAUAAUCAACAAAAAACAAAUAGUUAUAAUACAAUGUAACAAAUAUAACAUUUGGUAUGUGUAUUGUCCUUACUACUUAUACAAAAAAUUUACAGCCAAUAUAACAUACAAUUAUAAAAUUAUCACAGUGGCGACUUGAAGCGAUAUUAUCAUACAAACUUAACAUAUAACACUGUAAUAAUCAUUUAUAAUAUUGAUAAUGAUGACGAUAAUAUGGAUAUGUUCGUGAUAGGUCUUUGAACCUUAUCAGUUUGAAUGAAUGUAGUUCACUGUUUUCACCAUUAUAAUGUGUAACUGACAACUUAAAAAGGACAAACAAAAUCAAAAUGGAGAGGUUGAACAUUAUAUUUUAAUUAUAAUUACACACUGAUUAAAUAUUGAGGUUAUUUUCUUUAUAUUGGACUAGAGGUUAUAAUGUGUCAAUAGAUAUGAUGCAACAACAAAACAUCUUAAUACAUACUUUGAAGACCUUGAUAAAAAUGUGCUCUAUAUAAAAAAAUAUGAAUUCAACAAAUAUAUUCAGGGGGGAGGGGGAGAUAUUUGUAAGUAUUCUUGACAAAUAUUCUCCAUGGUUAUCAUAAGAGAUGUUGGGAGCUUACAGUGCAUGUUAAAAUAACUGUUUCAUAUAAAUAAACAUAAACUAAUUUCAUAAUUCAUAAUUCAAAACAGAUCAAAAUUGGAAUGUUUCACUUUAUCUAACCUUUCAUGCAUUUAAACUAUUUAAAUCAAUAAUUUGGCAAAAUCAAUUCUGAGAAUGAAAAACUGAGUAAUGUUCAUUUGCUGCUGUGAUAAACAUAUGUACCUUAUCUAACGUCACCGUUAUAAAACCUUGUAACUGAUUUUGAGAUCAUGUCAAAAUAACAAGUACCCUUUGCACAAAAAUAAAUUCAGACAGCACUAAUAUAUCAAAUCAUUAUUAACCAAACUAGUGACUGUAUCAUCAACCUGGUAUCUUUAACCUCAUGAACUGGUUAGCAUACUUAGUAUGAAAUAAGAUUAAAAUGUCAAGCCUCUCAUAUCUACUUUGUUCUAAGGCUUUUGUAUGUAAAUAAAUUAUAUAUUAAGUUGUGGUGUAAAAUAUAUACCCAGUGGCAGCUUAGUGACCUUUAUAGCUAUAAUGUACCUUCUUUGAAAUAGGGGGCAGGAGGGGAGAGGGGGAUCUGCAAGUCUUCUUAUUCUUAAGCAAUAACAAAUAAAUCAUAGCUUUUAGUUCAACAUUUUUAACAUUUCGAAGAUCGAAGUACAUGCAUUUAUCUACAAUUGAAGCCAGCUUUAUGGAUGGCUGUUCACAGACAGUGAUGGACACAGAAAUUCUGGCUAUAGACCAUACUGACACACUAGACCAGUAAGUCUAAUUUAAUUUAAUUUAAUUGUGUAAUGAAGGUUAAUGCUGUUGAUCUGGUUUUAAGGAAAAUAAACAGUGCAAAUAAACAGUGUAAAUAAACAGCCAUUACACAAAUAUUUGGUCCCAAUAUGACAAAAUGAAUAACAAUAACAUGAUUCAAACUCAUUUUUAAAAAGUGUCACAGAUAUAAAAAAAAGAACUAAAUAGUACUUGUCUGGAAUAUUUUUUUCAAUUGUUGUUUAGCUCUUUAAUAAUAUAAUUGUUCAAGAGGGGGGUAUGUAGCUAUUAAACCAGAUUUAUUACAUUGCAAUUGGUUGCAGUAAAAUUCCAGAUUAUGCAGUCCAAUUAAAACUGUUGAUUGUAUGAGUGAAAAAAAAAUAUGACACUUUACUUUACAUGGUUUAUAUGACAAACUACAGUAUGCAGAUGAAUUAAUAAACAGACUACAAAAUAAAAUAACAAAUAUGAGAUCCCUCUGGCAUGAAACUUUUUGAGAAGAAAGUAAAAAUGUCUACUACUCUAUAUAAAAAAAUUAUAUUACCAAUAUAUUUCAAAACUUGGCCAAACUAUAUCAUUUUUAAG